Molecule: ribosomal RNA, 500 nt
Filed under: uncultured bacterium
Lineage: Bacteria
Description: partial 16S ribosomal RNA
Rfam family: Bacterial small subunit ribosomal RNA
Source: RNAcentral
AUUGAACGCUGGCGGAAUGCUUUACACAUGCAAGUCGAACGGCAGCACGGACUUCGGUCUGGUGGCGAGUGGCGAACGGGUGAGUAAUGUAUCGGAACGUGCCCAGUCGUGGGGGAUAACGUAGGGAAAAUUAAGCUAAUACCGCAUACGAUCUAUGGAUGAAAGCGGGGGAUCGCAAGACCUCGCGCGAUUGGAUCGGCCGAGAUCAGAUUAGUUAGUUGGUGGGGUAAAGGCCCACCAAGCCAACGAUCUGUAGCUGGUCUGAGAGGACGACCAGCCACACUGGAACUGAGACACGGUCCAGACUCCUACGGGAGGCAGCAGUGGGGAAUUUUGGACAAUGGGCGAAAGCCUGAUCCAGCCAUUCCGCGUGCAGGAUGAAGGCCCUCGGGUUGUAAACUGCUUUUGUACAGAACGAAAAGGUUUCUACUAAUACUAGGAGCUCAUGACGGUACUGUAAGAAUAAGCACCGGCUAACUACGUGCCAGCAGCCGCAGUAA